AGUGAACGCUGGCGGUAGGCCUAACACAUGCAAGUCGAACGGCAGCACAGUAAUAGCUUGCUCUUACGGGUGGCGAGUGGCGGACGGGUGAGGAAUACAUCGGAAUCUACUUUUUCGUGGGGGAUAACGUAGGGAAACAUACGCUAAUACCGCAUACGACCUACGGGUGAAAGCAGCGGAUCUUCGGACCUUGCGCGAUUGAAUAAGCCGAUGUCGGAUUAGCUAGUUGGCGGGGUAAAGGCCCACCAAGGCGACGAUCCGUAGCUGGUCUGAGAGGAUGAUCAGCCACACUGGAACUGAGACACGGUCCAGACUCCUACGGGAGGCAGCAGUGGGGAAUAUUGGACAAUGGGCGCAAGCCUGAUCCAGCCAUACCGCGUGGGUGAAGAAGGCCUUCGGGUUGUAAAGCCCUUUUGUUGGGAAAGAAAAGCAGCAGGUUAAUACCCCGCUGUUCUGACGGUACCCAAAGAAUAAGCACCGGCUAACUUCGUG
This 492-nucleotide ribosomal RNA is filed under the name uncultured bacterium. RNAcentral describes it as "partial 16S ribosomal RNA". It matches the Rfam family "Bacterial small subunit ribosomal RNA", at positions 29 to 507 of the family's 1533-position model. The record is from RNAcentral.